This is a long non-coding RNA of Oncorhynchus masou masou (cherry salmon), 2489 nucleotides long. RefSeq lists it as uncharacterized. Lineage: Eukaryota; Metazoa; Chordata; Actinopteri; Salmoniformes; Salmonidae. The transcript has 2 exons. The record is from RefSeq and is a predicted model, not a curated record.
GUGAGCUACUAGUGUAGUUAGAGGAGUACACCUGGGGUGAGCUACUAGUAUAGUUAGUAGUUAGAGGAGUACACCUGGGGUGAGCUACUAGUGUAGUUAGAGGAGCACACCUGGGGUGAGUUACUAGUGUAGUUAGAGGAGUACACCUGGGGUGAGUUACUAGUGUAGUUAGUAGUUAGAGGAGUACACCUGGGGUGAGUUACUAGUGUAGUUAGAGGAGCACACCUGGGGUGAGUUACUAGUGUAGUUAGAGGAGUACACCUGGGGUGAGCUACUAGUGUAGUUAGAGGAGCACACCUGGGGUGAGUUACUAGUGUAGUUAGAGGAGUACACCUGGGGUGAGCUACUAGUGUAGUUAGAGGAGUACACCUGGGGUGAGCUACUAGUAUAGUUAGUAGUUAGAGGAGUACACCUGGGGUGAGCUACUAGUGUAGUUAGAGGAGCACACCUGGGGUGAGUUACUAGUGUAGUUAGAGGAGUACACCUGGGGUGAGUUACUAGUGUAGUUAGUAGUUAGAGGAGUACACCUGGGGUGAGUUACUAGUGUAGUUAGAGGAGCACACCUGGGGUGAGUUACUAGUGUAGUUAGUAGUUAGAGGAGUACACCUGGGGUGAGUUACUAGUGUAGUUAGUAGUUCAAGGAGUACACCUGGGGUGAGUUACUAGUGUAGUUAGAGGAGCACACCUGGGGUGAGUUACUAGUGUAGUUAGAGGAGUACACCUGGGGUGAGUUACUAGUGUAGUUAGAGGAGCACACCUGGGGUGAGUUACUAGUGUAGUUAGAGGAGUACACCUGGGGUGAGUUACCAGUGUAGUUAGAGGAGCACACCUGGGGUGAGUUACUAGUGUAGUUAGAGGAGCACACCUGGGGUGAGUUACUAGUGUAGUUAGUAGUUAGAGGAGUACACCUGGGGUGAGUUACUAGUGUAGUUAGAGGAGCACACCUGGGGUGAGUUACUAGUGUAGUUAGAGGAGUACACCUGGGGUGAGUUACUAGUGUAGUUAGAGGAGCACACCUGGGGUGAGUUACUAGUGUAGUUAGAGGAGCACACCUGGGGUGAGUUACUAGUGUAGUUAGUAGUUAGAGGAGUACACCUGGGGUGAGUUACUAGUGUAGUUAGAGGAGCACACCUGGGGUGAGUUACUAGUGUAGUUAGUAGUUAGAGGAGUACACCUGGGGUGAGUUACUAGUGUAGUUAGAGGAGCACACCUGGGGUGAGUUACUAGUAUAGUUAGUAGUUAGAGGAGUACACCUGGGGUGAGCUACUAGUAUAGUUAGUAGUUAGAGGAGCACACCUGGGGUGAGUUACUAGUAUAGUUAGUAGUUAGAGGAGUACACCUGGGGUGAGUUACUAGUAUAGUUAGUAGUUAGAGGAGUACACCUGGGGUGAGUUACAGGAGUUGUUUCUGGACAGGGUCGUGGAGAGCGAGGUUCAUUAUGUGGUCAUUGAUUUAGAUACCAAUUGAUGAGCCAUUAGUUACAGUAAGAGACUGAUUUCACGUAGACAUGUAGUUUGUGGAAGUCUGUAAAACAAUAACAGUGCUGUCUGUGUUGUUGUUGUUUUCUCCAGAGGCAGAUAUGUAAGGAUCUGGAGAAGGACUUAAUGGCGGCCAUUCCAUCUGUGGUUGUCCAAUCCGUGCCAGCCUUUAAUGAGAGCUGAGAUGACAAUCUUGGGCUUUUGUUUUCAUUUUUUGGUAACACUUUGUGCAACGGUGCCAGUUUCAAGGGUUUUUGAAUUGACAAUCAUUACUAAAACACUUACACACAAAAUUGUUAAGAUUUUUGGGGGGGCAAGCUAUUUUUAAUUGACAAAUGGCACAGCUUCUGAUGAACAUUCUCAAUCAAAGUCACUUCUUUCAAAACAAUAAAAGCUUUUAUCAAGUAUUUUAUUUUUAGAUUUUAAAAAAAAAAGAAUUUCCUUGAAAUUGGUACCAUUAGAUUUGAAAACGUUUUCUCAUAAUAGAAAUAAAUAAACAAACUCCAUAACUUGCACUAUUUGAAUGUGGUUUUAGUUAUAAGCAACGGUGUAAUCUAAAGUCUGAUAUUUGAUCAGCAUUUUCAUUUUAUUUUUUUAAAGCCCAAAUUAUUUUCGAGGAAGCCCAUGUGAUAUGCAUUUGUGUGAGCUGUAAAUAUCAACGUUCAUUUUUGGUUUGAAGUCAUUUAUCAAUAUAACAUCUCAGCUUCUGUCUAUCCUUCAACAUUCCUGUAAAUGACCAAUUAUCAACAGUAAUAAAUGGGGGUUUUUACAGGCACAUUUUGCUAAGUAGAGAACUGUAUUUUCAUUACUUAAAAAAACGAUAUGUUCUGUCUUUCGGUGUAUUAUACAACACUUUUCUGUUCAGUUUGAUUUAAAAAUAAAUGGUAAACUAUUGACAUUGGACAACUAUUUGACAAAAUAUUUUUAAUUUAAAGAAAUACAGAAUCAUUGUGACCAAAAAUGUCACUUUUUUAUGAUAUUUCUUGAUUAAAUGUCUCUUCACUGUAAGAA